Molecule: ribosomal RNA, 253 nt
Filed under: uncultured bacterium
Lineage: Bacteria
Description: partial 16S ribosomal RNA
Rfam family: Bacterial small subunit ribosomal RNA
Source: RNAcentral
GACGUAGGAGGCGAGCGUUGUCCGGAUUCAUUGGGCGUAAAGAGCACGCAGGCGGUUUGGCAAGUCGGAUGUGAAAACCCGAAGCUCAACUUCGGGCCUGCAUCCGAAACUGCCCGACUAGAGGUAGGUAGGGGAGAUCGGAAUUCCUGGUGUAGCGGUGAGAUGCGCAGAUAUCAGGAGGAACACCGGUGGCGAAGGCGGAUCUCUGGGCCUUACCUGACGCUCAGGUGCGAAAGCGUGGGUAGCAAACAGG